This 373-nucleotide ribosomal RNA is filed under the name uncultured organism. Its description in RNAcentral is "partial 16S ribosomal RNA". It matches the Rfam family "Bacterial small subunit ribosomal RNA", at positions 527 to 896 of the family's 1533-position model. The record is from RNAcentral.
GUAGGUGGCAAGCGUUGUCCGGAAUUAUUGGGCGUAAAGCGCGCGCAGGCGGUCCUUUAAGUCUGAUGUGAAAGCCCACGGCUCAACCGUGGAGGGUCAUUGGAAACUGGAGGACUUGAGUACAGAAGAGGAAAGCGGAAUUCCAAGUGUAGCGGUGAAAUGCGUAGAGAUUUGGAGGAACACCAGUGGCGAAGGCGGCUUUCUGGUCUGUAACUGACGCUGAGGCGCGAAAGCGUGGGAAGCAAACAGGGAUUAGAUACCCUGGUAGUCCACGCCGUAAACGAUGAGUGCUAAGUGUUAGGGGGUUUCCCGCCCCUUAGUGCUGCAGCUAACGCAUUAAGCACUCCGCCUGGGGAGUACGGCCGCAAGGCUG